This 266-nucleotide long non-coding RNA is filed under the name Elaeis guineensis (African oil palm). RNAcentral describes it as "long non-coding RNA (EGUI_LNC043660)". Lineage: Eukaryota; Viridiplantae; Streptophyta; Magnoliopsida; Arecales; Arecaceae. The record is from RNAcentral.
GAUGGAGAGGGUGGCUGAUCUUAUAAGCCACUUGUAUGAGACACUAAUACAAGAAUGUGGGUGCUCAUUAGAGAAUGAGUUCACUAAAUUGAUCCGACUUAAGAAACGUCUUAUGGAAUCUGCUUAUCCGUCAAAAGAUAUUUUCUUAUAGUAGAAGUUGUACAUGUAAUCCUUUGACAUGAGACACCAUAGAACCUUAUAUAUAUGAAUUCAUAUUUUGGUUCAUACUCAUUUAUGAUUUAGUCAUAUACGGGAUGAUCUAGAUA